CCGAUACUCUCUUACUCUUAGAAAACUCUUCACCCAAAAUCUCUCUUUCUCUCUCUCUCUCUCUCUCAGCCAACUCCAGCCACAAAUCUUAGCCCUGACCCUCAUCUCGGAAGCACUCUGAUCUCAUAUCGGCAGCCGAACCUAAUCCCUAAUCUUUCUCGUUGAGAAUCCAAGUCUCGUCGACCAUGGAUGCCGGGAGAGAGUCGAGCACGCCAGUGGCGUCGAGAUCCUCUAAAACCCUAAUUCGAUCCCCAAUUCCUCCCAACCAAAUUCCAUCGUUAUCCCAAGCAGAGCCAUGUUGGGCGGUGCAGCUGAUUGCUGCGGCGGGAUCUACUAGUCUCCGUCUCCAUCAUCUUUGCCUGGCUUAUGUAAUGUUGGAAAGUCAGAUGAAUCCAAUUGGCAAGCUCUACUAAAGCAGCCAAUAUAUCUCAUUGUUUCUCAGAUUCUGGUACCUUUCUUAAGUCGUUUUUUUCUUCAUUUUAUAUUUGGUCUUCUCAACUAAGAACUAGCACUUGUUUCUAAUUUAAGAUAUAUUUGAUAUGACAACGCUCAUGUUGACUCUAUGUGUUUGUAACUUUGUAUAUAUAUCUCAUAUGCCAAAGUUUGGGUCUUUUGUGUGAAUGAAUUAAUUCUGGAUGCUGGAAUGAGAUUCUGGCAUUUUAAGAUAGUAUGAAGUGUCAAUUUAAUGAGUUUUGUGAAUUUUUUUAAUCUGUAAAUAAGAAACAUUUUGUGUUUAAGGUAUGAUUGUUCUCUUCAUAUUUGGCUAAUUUCAAAUUCUAAGGAUGAAUUUGCUUCUGUUGAAUACUAAGUUUAAUCAUCUGAGGUUCUAGAUGAGUUUAUAUUUUCUUCUUCAGUCAAUGCGGCAACAAUCUGAUAUUGGAAACCAACAUAUACAGAGGAACCUUAUCUAACAGUCAUUUGACAUAGUCAAUUAGUGCAUAAGUUUCAACAGGAUAUUGUCUACCUUUGCAUUUCUAAUAUUUAGAUGUGAUAUAUUUACAUGGUUCUUACUUUGCUUUGUACAGAUUGUCUCAUCUUUGAUUUGUACAGUCCGUUCACAAAGCUGUGGGAAAUAUAGAUACUAGCUACUACUAUAUAUAUACUGGUUAAAUUUAUUACAGUAGUAAAUUUCACUAUGCUUGGUUUAUUUUGUUGAAUAUAUUGUCUACAUGGUAGAACUUGUAGGUCACAUUCUGCGAAUUUGGCAGCUGCAAACUGCUACUAACUUGAGCAUUGAAAAAACCAGAACACUGGGCACUUGGAGGGUGCUAAUCUCCACCAAAUUUCAAGACAGUUGCUGCUCAACUCCAUAGAUAUAUUGUCUUAAGCAAUGUCGUCUUAGCUAUUUUCUUUUCUUUCAUUUAGGUUACAUAUUUGUAAAUUUCUAGAGUUAAGAAGAUUACUUUGAUGGAUAUAUUGUCAAUUGGGUACAUAGUAAUGAAAUUGUGUCAUUGUGAUUCAUAUAAUUUCUUGCCAAUGAGA
Long non-coding RNA from Argentina anserina (silverweed cinquefoil), 1482 nucleotides. RefSeq lists it as uncharacterized. The transcript has 3 exons. The record is from RefSeq and is a predicted model, not a curated record. Lineage: Eukaryota; Viridiplantae; Streptophyta; Magnoliopsida; Rosales; Rosaceae.